UACGUAGGGGGCAAGCGUUGCCCGGAUUCAUUGGGCGUAAAGAGCUCGUAGGCGGUUCGGCAAGUCGGGUGUGAAAACUCCAGGCUCAACCUGGAGACGCCACCCGAUACUGCUGUGACUUGAGUCCGGUAGGGGACCACGGAAUUCCUGGUGUAGCGGUGAAAUGCGCAGAUAUCAGGAGGAACACCGGUGGCGAAGGCGGUGGUCUGGGCCGGCACUGACGCUGAGGAGCGAAAGCGUGGGGAGCGAACAGG
This 254-nucleotide ribosomal RNA is filed under the name uncultured bacterium. RNAcentral's name for it is "partial 16S ribosomal RNA". It matches the Rfam family "Bacterial small subunit ribosomal RNA", at positions 524 to 776 of the family's 1533-position model. The record is from RNAcentral.